GAUGAACGCUGGCGGCGUGCCUAACACAUGCAAGUCGAACGAAGCGGGGACGGGGGAGUAUCACGUGGAUAAACCCCCAUAUGACUGGGAUAACUUCGGGAAACCGGAGCUAAACCGGACACUUAUACAUGGAUCCGCGCUGCAUUUGCUAGUUGGUCAGGUAACGGCUUACCAAGGCAACGAGGCAUAGCCGACCUGCGAGGGUGAUGGGCCAAACUGGAACUGAGGCACUGUCAUGAGGCCUACGGGAGGCAGCGGUGGGGAAGCGUCCGCAAUGGGCGAAAGCCUGACGGAGCAACGCCGCGUGAGUGAGGAGGGUCUGCGGAUCGUAAGACUCUGUUAUUAGGGAGUCGGUACCUGAUCAGAAAGCGACGGCUAACUACGUGCCAGCAGCCGCGGUAAUAC
This 405-nucleotide ribosomal RNA is filed under the name uncultured bacterium. RNAcentral describes it as "partial 16S ribosomal RNA". It matches the Rfam family "Bacterial small subunit ribosomal RNA", at positions 28 to 526 of the family's 1533-position model. The record is from RNAcentral.